RNAcentral lists this ribosomal RNA (425 nucleotides) under uncultured bacterium. RNAcentral describes it as "partial 16S ribosomal RNA". It matches the Rfam family "Bacterial small subunit ribosomal RNA", at positions 354 to 796 of the family's 1533-position model. The record is from RNAcentral.
GUGGGGAAUAUUGGACAAUGGGCGAAAGCCUGAUCCAGCCAUGCCGCGUGAGUGAUGAAGGCCUUAGGGUUGUAAAGCUCUUUCAGUAGGGAAGAUAAUGACGGUACCUACAGAAGAAGCCCCGGCUAACUUCGUGCCAGCAGCCGCGGUAAUACGAAGGGGGCUAGCGUUGUUCGGAAUUACUGGGCGUAAAGCGCACGUAGGCUGAUAUUUAAGUCAGGGGUGAAAUCCCGGGGCUCAACCCCGGAACUGCCUUUGAUACUGGGUAUCUUGAGUAUGGAAGAGGUCAGUGGAAUUGCGAGUGUAGAGGUGAAAUUCGUAGAUAUUCGCAGGAACACCAGUGGCGAAGGCGGCUGACUGGUCCAUUACUGACGCUGAGGUGCGAAAGCGUGGGGAGCAAACAGGAUUAGAAACCCUUGUAGUCC